Molecule: ribosomal RNA, 253 nt
Filed under: uncultured bacterium
Lineage: Bacteria
Description: partial 16S ribosomal RNA
Rfam family: Bacterial small subunit ribosomal RNA
Source: RNAcentral
UACAGAGGGUGCGAGCGUUAAUCGGAUUAACUGGGCGUAAAGGGCGCGUAGGCGGUCAGAUGGGUGUGAUGUGAAAGCCCCGGGCUUAACCUGGGAAGUGCAUCGCAAACUAUAAGACUGGAGUAGAUGAGAGGGUGGCGGAAUUUCCGGUGUAGCAGUGAAAUGCGUAGAGAUCGGAAGGAACGUCAAUGGCGAAGGCAGCCACCUGGCAUCAUACUGACGCUGAGGCGCGAAAGCGUGGGGAGCGAACAGG